Molecule: non-coding RNA, 135 nt
Organism: Triticum urartu
Lineage: Eukaryota; Viridiplantae; Streptophyta; Magnoliopsida; Poales; Poaceae
Source: Rfam
AUUCUACUCCCUCCGUCCCGAAUUACUUGUCUUAGAUUUGUCUAGAUACAGAUGUAUCUAGACAUGUUUUAGUGUUAGAUACAUCCGUAUCUAGACAAAUUUAAGACAAGUAAUUUGGGAUGGAGGUAAUAUAUU